Molecule: ribosomal RNA, 492 nt
Filed under: uncultured bacterium
Lineage: Bacteria
Description: partial 16S ribosomal RNA
Rfam family: Bacterial small subunit ribosomal RNA
Source: RNAcentral
AGUGAACGCUGGCGGUAGGCCUAACACAUGCAAGUCGAACGGCAGCACAGUAAGAGCUUGCUCUUACGGGUGGCGAGUGGCGGACGGGUGAGGAAUACAUCGGACUCUACUUUUUCGUGGGGGAUAACGUAGGGAAACUUACGCUAAUACCGCAUACGACCUACGGGUGAAAGCAGGGGAUCUUCGGACCUUGCGCGAUUGAAUGAGCCGAUGUCGGAUUAGCUAGUUGGCGGGGUAAAGGCCCACCAAGGCGACGAUCCGUAGCUGGUCUGAGAGGAUGAUCAGCCACACUGGAACUGAGACACGGUCCAGACUCCUACGGGAGGCAGCAGUGGGGAAUAUUGGACAAUGGGCGAAAGCCUGAUCCAGCCAUACCGCGUGGGUGAAGAAGGCCUUCGGGUUGUAAAGCCCUUUUGUUGGGAAAGAAAAGCAGCAGGUUAAUACCCCGCUGUUCUGACGGUACCCAAAGAAUAAGCACCGGCUAACUUCGUG